Molecule: unclassified non-coding RNA, 250 nt
Filed under: uncultured fungus
Lineage: Eukaryota; Fungi
Description: partial contains 5.8S ribosomal RNA, internal transcribed spacer 2, and large subunit ribosomal RNA
Rfam family: 5.8S ribosomal RNA (bases 1-52)
Source: RNAcentral
AACGCACAUUGCGCCCUCUGGUAUUCCGGAGGGCAUGCCUGUUCGAGCGUCAUUUCAACCCUCAAGCCUGGCUUGGUGUUGGGGCACUGCUCCGAGAGGAGCAGGCCCUGAAAUCUAGUGGCGAGCUCGCUAGGACCCCGAGCGUAGUAGUUAUAUCUCGUUCUGGAAGGCCCUGGCGGUGCCCUGCCGUUAAACCCCCAACUUCUGAAAUUUUGACCUCGGAUCAGGUAGGAAUACCCGCUGAACUUAA